This 305-nucleotide ribosomal RNA is filed under the name uncultured bacterium. Its description in RNAcentral is "bacterial SSU rRNA". It matches the Rfam family "Bacterial small subunit ribosomal RNA", at positions 334 to 637 of the family's 1533-position model. The record is from RNAcentral.
GUCGCCUAGGGGCGCAGCAGUGAGGAAUAUUGGUCAAUGGGCGCAGGCCUGAACCAGCCAAGUAGCGUGAAGGAUGACUGCCCUAUGGGUUGUAAACUUCUUUUAUAUGGGAAUAAAGUUUUCCACGUGUGGAAUUUUGUAUGUACCAUAUGAAUAAGGAUCGGCUAACUCCGUGCCAGCAGCCGCGGUAAUACGGAGGAUCCGAGCGUUAUCCGGAUUUAUUGGGUUUAAAGGGAGCGUACGUGGACAGUUAAGUCAGUUGUGAAGGUUUGCGGCUCAACCGUAAAAUUGCAAUUGAUACUGGC